CUUAACUAGGUCAAUCUAAGAUCUGUUAAUUUUCUUCUUUUUGUGAAUAGACAUUAAAGGACACAUCCUCAUAACUCCCACCUUUUAUAGACAUGAUUGUUUGGCUUAUCUAGCUCAUAAGGUAAAAUAUCCAGUAUCAAGGGCACCCAGAGAGUUCUUCACCUGGACUUAAGCCUCAUAGUUACCAUUAACAAGAGCACUAUAUUGGGCAUUGACAUGCACAAGGAGAAUUUGGGGGGAUCAAUGUCCUUUAUAGGCUGUGAGAUGAGUGAUUGACCUUUGAAAUACAAAGGUCCUUGCCUACGGGGAACCUAUGAGCACUAAAAAUCUAGGAUACCACUGUCAAGAGUCUUGAGAAGGCUAUUUGUCCUAUAGAUGGGACUACAUCGAUUCAAAGGGAUUUCCUAUAAUCCAUACCUGGAGAAGGUUCUAAAGAUCAUCUUAUCAAAUUAGAGGUGGUUUGUAAACUAAAGGCUAAAAGGAAAUUAGGUUCAGAAUGGAAGGAAUGUGUACGGUUGAGCUUUCAUUGGUAAGUGAUCAAAGAGAUCUCCCAAGGAGAUAUCAUUCUAUUAUCAAAAGUAAAUAUGGGGGAAGGGGGCACAAAAUAAGAGACUAGACGUCAAUCCUAUAGUUACAGAUUCACAUCAUUGUCCAUAACAAGUCAUUUACAAGAGUUACCUAGACUCAAUUCAUCACAUUAGAUACUCUACGGACCUACUAUGAAAAGGUAUAAAGAACCUUUUUGGGAAGAGUUAGGUGCAAUUCGAGGUUUGUGGUCUGAUUCCUGGUGCAUCGGUGGGGACUUCAAUGUUAUUAGAUUUCCCAAUGAACGGAGUAGAGUUGGAAGACUAUCUGGUCCUAUGAGAAGGUUUUCAGAGGUGCUAAAUGAGUUGGCUUUAAGAGAUCUGCCUCUUCAGGGGGGUCCUUAUACGUGGAGUGGGGGGUUAAAUGGCCAAUCCUGGUCGAGACUGGAUCGCUUCCUGAUUUCGGAGGAUUGGGAAAACCAUUUUAGUGGAGUGUCUCAGUGCACACUCCCAAGGCCUGUGUCUGACCAUUCCCCAAUCCUGUUAGAUGGGGGUGGUGUUAGGAGAGGUCCUAUCUCUUUCCGUUUUGAGAAUAUGUGGUUGAAGGAGAAGGGAUUUAAGGAGCUUCUGAAGGGUUGGUGGCAAGGAUUUAAUUGCAGUGGUUCAUAUAGCUUUGUCCUCUCAGAAAAACUAAAGGCCUUAAAAGUUAAGCUGAAGAAUUGGAAUAAGGAAGUCUUUGGUAAGGUGGGAGUAAACUUGAGGAUGGCUUUGGGCAGUGUAUCUUUUUGGGAUGAUCAGGAGAGGCAGAGAACGUUAAACGAGCAGGAGUUAGAGGCUAGAAAGGAGGCCAAGGAGGAGUUUAAAAAGUGGGCGAUUAUGGAGGAAAUCUCGUGGAGGCAGAAAUCAAGACAAAUAUGGUUGAAGGAAGGAGAUAAGAACACAGGAUUCUUUCAUAAGAUGGCGAACUCUAACAGUAGAAGGAAUUGUUUGAAAAAGAUUAAAGUCAGAGGUAUUUGGCUUUCAGACGAGCAAGAUAUUCAAAGGGGAGUGGUAAGGGCCUAUCAGGAUCUAUUAUCGGAUCCUGGUGGCUGGCACCCGAGCAUGAGCAGCUUGAAGUUUGAUAGUAUUGGAAGAGAGGAGGCUGCCAGGCUGGAGGAGAUGUUCUCUUUGGAAGAGGUGUAUCUGGCCCUUUCGGAGCUAAAUGGGGACAAGGCUCCUGGACCGGAUGGAUUUCCCAUUGCCUUCUGGCAGUUCUGUUGGGAUUUUGUCAAAGACGAAAUUAUGGGCUUCUUUAAGGAUUUUUUAAAGAGGGGUAAAUUCGUUAAAAGUCUCAACUCCACGUUUCUGGUUUUAGUCCCCAAGAAAGGUGGGGCUGAGGAUUUACGUGACUAUAGACCCAUCAGCUUGGUGGGUGGUCUGUACAAGAUCCUCGCCAAGGUUCUAGCCAAUAGGCUGAAGAAAGUAGUGAGUAAGGUGGUGUCUUUGGCCCAAAAUGCCUUUGUUGAAGGAAGGCAAAUCCUUGACGCAGCGUUAAUUGCUAACGAGGCCAUAGACUCGAUGCUGAAAGGGGAUGAAGCUGGUGUGUUAUGCAAGCUGGACCUAGAGAAGGCUUAUGACCAUAUUAACUGGGAUUUUCUGAUGUUAGUGAUGCAAAAAAUGGGCUUUGGGGAGAAGUGGGUCGGCUGGAUCAGGUGGUGCAUCUCCACUGCCUCUUUCUCAGUUCUGAUUAACGGUUCGCCAACGGGCUUCUUCCAGAGCACUCGAGGGUUAAGGCAAGGGGACCCCAUUUCCCCCUACUUGUUUGUCUUAGGAAUGGAGGCCUUAAGCUGCCUCAUUAACAAAGCGGUUAGGGGGGGCUUCCUAUCCGGCUGCAGGCUAAGGGGAAGGGGUGGAAAUGGGAUUCAAGUUUCUCAUCUAUUAUUUGCAGAUGAUACGCUGGUCUUUUGCAAGGACUCCCAAGACCAAAUGGUUGUUCUAAGCUGGCUUUUAAUGUGGUUUGAAGCCAUUUCUGGUCUGAAUAUUAACUUGGAAAAGAGCGAAAUUCUGUUGGUGGGAAGUGUUAAGAAUGCUGAGGUCUUGGCUUCUGAAUUGGGCUGCAAAGUGGGUUCUCUUCCUUCCACUUACUUGGGGCUGCCUCUAGGUGCUCCUCACAAAUCGGUGGUUGUGUGGGAUGGUGUGGAAGAAAGGAUGAGGAAGAGACUCGCUCUAUGGAAGAGGCAGUUUAUUUCUAAGGGGGGGAGAAUCACUCUCAUUCGGAGCACUUUGGCUAGCAUGCCGAUUUAUCUUAUGUCCUUGAUGCGUAUUCCAAGAGUUGUAAGAUUGAGGCUUGAGAAAAUCCAAAGGGAUUUCCUUUGGGGAGGGGGUGCGUUGGAGAAGAGGCCUCACCUUGUAAAAUGGGAUGUGGUUCGCUUUCAUAAAAUGAAGGGUGGAUUGGGGAUCAUAAAUUUUUCUAUCCUCAAUAGGGCCCUGUUGUGUAAAUGGAGCUGGCGCUUUGCAGCUGAAAGAGAAUCUUUUUGGAAACUUGUUAUCAGCUCGAAGUAUGGGGAAGAAGAAGGAGGGUGGAUCUCUUGUGAGGUUAGGGAAGGCUAUGGGGUGGGGUUGUGGAAGGAAAUUAGAAAGGAAGGCGUUCUGUUGUUUAAAACGCUUCCUUCACUAUAGGGGAUGGUAGAAGGGUGAAAUUUUGGAAGGACAUUUGGUGUGGAAAUACUCCCCUAUGUGAGGCUUUUCCUUCUCUGUUUGCCUUUGCGGUAUCCCAAGAUGCGUGGGUAGAGGAUUGUUGGGAUUAUAUGGGGGAUGCGGGGGGAUGCGGGGGGAUGGUAUCCUUGUUUUUCUAGGUCUUUUAAUGACUGGGAGCUGGAGGCGGUGGCGAGUCUCCUUUCGGUCCUUCAAGGAAAGAGGCUGAAUGUUGGAUUGGAGGAUAGAGUGGUGUGGAAUGCUUCUAAGAAUGGGAUUUUCUCUGUAAAAUCCCUUUACAAUACUCUGGAUUUUGGUGGUGCAGUCCCGUUUCCGUGGAGAAUCAUAUGGAGCCCUUGCGUGCCUACUAAGGUGGGUUUUUUUGCUUGGGAAGCUUCUUGGGGGAAGGUCCUAACCCAAGAUCAUCUCAAAAGGAGGGACUGGUCUCUAGCAAACAGAUGCUUCUUAUGUUGUGAUGAUGAGGAGACAAUUAACCACAUCCUUAUUCAUUGCCCCAAGGCGAAGGUGUUGUGGAAUCUUAUGUUUAUGAUGUUUAGGGUUAAUUGGGUCCUUCAGCUCACGGUUAAAGACACUCUCCUUGGCUGGUCCGAUUCCUUUGUAGACAAGAAGCGUGGGAAGAUUUGGCGGGCAGCCCCCCUUUGUUUAUUUUGGACGAUGUGGAAAGAAAGAAAUAGGAUAGUUUUUGAUAAUGAGGCUUUGUCGAUCCAAAGAUUGAAAACCUCCUUCGUUUGUAAUCUUUUCUCUUGGACUAAGUCCUGCUUAGAUGGAGAGCCCCACUCCUUAAUUAAUUUUGUAGAUUGGUUGGGCUCUAAUUGAGGGUUGGUGAGUGUCUGCUUCCUUGUGCUUUUUGUUUUUGGGGCUUCUCGUGUAUACUUCCUGUAUGCUUUGGGUUGCCUUCUUGCUUCCCUCUUUUUAAUAUAAUAUUUCUGUGUUUAUCUAUCAAAAAAAAUUCAUCACAUUAGAUACAUUAUUGGAGAUGGAUCUAAGAUUAAGUCUUAGGAAGAUUUAUAUAUAUAUAUAUAUAUAUAUAUAUAUAGAGAGAGAGAGAGAGAGAGAGAGAGAGAGAUAAAGGUCUUAGGAGGAUCUUUAUAGAGGAGAUCUACCUUUGUAUUAUCUUUUUUUUUUUCUUUGAUCAGU
Molecule: long non-coding RNA, 4355 nt
Filed under: Vitis vinifera (wine grape)
Lineage: Eukaryota; Viridiplantae; Streptophyta; Magnoliopsida; Vitales; Vitaceae
Description: long non-coding RNA (VVIN_LNC000668)
Source: RNAcentral